CCAUCCCGCCUUUGGGCAGCAGCGAAUUCAUGCAGAACUGUUAGAACCGAGCGUACCGCUCGGGUUAACCAUCGAGAAGCGGCAGACGUGCAGCGGCGCGUAUACGCGCUCGAGUGUGACACUUUUAUUGGGCUUAAAGCGUUCGUAGCUUGAUUUUAAGUCUCUUGGGAAAUUUCACGGCUUAACUGUGAGGCGUCUAGAGAUACUGGGAAUCUAGGGACCCGGGAGAGGUAAGAGGUACUUCAGGGGUAGAAGUGAAAUUCUGUAAUCCUUGAGGGACCACCGAUGGCGAAGGCAUCUUACCAGAACGGCUUCGACAGUGAGGAACGAAAGCUGGGGGAGCGAACGGGAUUAGAUACCCCGGUAGUCCCGGGCCGUAAACUAUGCGCGUUAGGUGAAAACUGUAACUACGAGUUACCGGGGUGCAAAAAGGUUGGGCGUAAAACGUGCCGCCUGGGAAGUACGGUCGCAAGGCUGAAACUUAAAGGAAUUGGCGGGGGAGCACAAAAACGGGUGGAGCCUGCGGUUUAAUUGGACUCAACGCCGGGCAGCUCACCGGAUAGGACAGCGGAAUGAUAGCCGGGCUGAAGACCUUGCUUGACCAGCUGAGAGGAGGUGCAUGGCCGUCGUCAGUUCGUACUGUGAAGCAUCCUGUUUAGUCAGGCAACGAGCGAGAACGAAAUCUAGAUCAACGCGAGGAAUUGAGCUCGAAUCACCGCAGCGUC
This 725-nucleotide ribosomal RNA is filed under the name uncultured archaeon. RNAcentral describes it as "bacterial SSU rRNA". It matches the Rfam family "Archaeal small subunit ribosomal RNA", at positions 1 to 1098 of the family's 1478-position model. The record is from RNAcentral.